Molecule: ribosomal RNA, 253 nt
Filed under: uncultured bacterium
Lineage: Bacteria
Description: partial 16S ribosomal RNA
Rfam family: Bacterial small subunit ribosomal RNA
Source: RNAcentral
UACAGAGGGGGCAAGCGUUGUUCGGAAUUACUGGGCGUAAAGGGCGCGUAGGCGGCCUGUUAAGUCGAACGUGAAAUCCCCGGGCUCAACCCGGGAACUGCGUCCGAUACUGGCAGGCUUGAAUUCGGGAGAGGGAUGUGGAAUUCCAGGUGUAGCGGUGAAAUGCGUAGAUAUCUGGAGGAACACCGGUGGCGAAGGCGGCAUCCUGGACCGAUAUUGACGCUGAUGCGCGAAAGCCAGGGGAGCAAACCGG